UUCAAGUUCAGAAACUCUCUCUCCCUCUCGACGCUCUCUAUGGAAUUACCUUUUUCCUUCACGGCAUCAAAGUUAUCUCUCUUUGGGAAGUUUCCUUUCUUUCUUCGGCGCUUCCUUUUAGUGACGGAUCUAUUCUCGCUGUUCUUUACUCUGAAAAAGAAUAACAAUUUUCUGCUGAUUUGUCUGAUAUGGUACAUUUUAUGGCAUGGCUCUUUUCUGUAUAGGUUGAAAACGGUAAAUUGUGGAGUUCCUUGCUUCCUAUUUGUACAACAAAACUCAUGCAUGCCCUUCUUUGAUUGAGGAUUUCUUUUUCAAAUUCCUAAAUUCUCAAUUUCAGUUCUAUGUUAUAUAUGCUGUGUGAUUUGUUUUUGUUCAGUUCUGGUGAAUCUGUUGAUGGGUCUGUGACGGUGGUUUUUGGGGAAUGUUGAAGUGGACUAUACAGCUGUGUUGUUUGAUGAUAUGUCUGAAAGAGGUGAAUCUAGAUUUUUUAACCAUGGUCACUGUCAAUUAGAUCGCGCCUAGCACUGCACUUGAGGAAAAAUCACUUAGAUUGCCUGCAGAAUCUGUUCAUGCAUAUGACUGCUAAGUGGAGCGUAACCAGAGGAGUUCUUUGAGUUCCUUUCAAAGAAGAAGCCAACAGUACCCCUAUCUAUUGUAAGAGGAGAAACUUUUUAGGACCAAUAGUACCAAUAUAUGAUAGAUUUCACUAUAUCAUGAGCCAAGAAUUGAACGGCAAACUAACCUAUAUUGCAUAACUAAAACUGCCACAAACUACAAGGGUAGCAGCAAGCUGGUUCAUCAACCAAAGCUGUGAUGUUCUCUCUAUACAAGUCCAAUGAAGGCAGCAGUUCGAUUGCAAGCUCGUGAUAGUUUUGCGCCCUCCAAGUUUGUUUUUCCAAUAAUAUUACCUCAAAAGCCUUCGCCAGCUAUUUGUACGACUCUGAAGUUCCUUUUCCUCAUUGCAGGAGACUAGGUUUUCUUAUGACACCAUUGAUUCCCACCUGUAGGCUGUAGCGCAUCUAUGCCACAUAUGUUCUUUGAAGUAGCAGAUAGCGCCAUGAUCACUGACCAACUAUGGUUGUAGAAUUUAGCCACCCUCGCUGCUGUGAUCUGGCAUUUGCUAAUAAUCAACUCAGCAAGAAAGUGAGGACAUAGAGCUGAUAUUUGCUUCGUCUUCUCUACAUGUUUUUGCCUUUCCUUUCUUCAGAAUUCGAUAGACGAUAGUACUUCUUUCAUUAAAGAUUUGUAGUUACCGUCAGGUGGUGACCUUUACCAAUAGCGUCUCCUACCCUCUUGAUAAUGUAUUGAUGAUGAUUUGGCAUCAGUAGAGACAAAAUUUACAAUUGAGUUCUUAUAAAAAAUUGUAUAUCUAACUUUAUGCUUAUCACAUGGUUAUUGCACUAAUCUGGUAGACAGGUAUAAAUUUGAUUUGCUUACAAAAUAUUGUUUGGUAUAUAAAGGUAAAUUUAUUGAGAACAAAGGUAGUAUUGGAGCUCUAUCUAGAAGCUAAAAUCAUCACAGCUUUAGAGGACUGAAUGUUAAUGUUAAGCAUUUGAUAAAAGUCAAAACUUUUGGUGACAUGCGGUUGAAUAUUUUUUAAUGUCGUCCAACAGCCAUCUUUGACUUAUAUAUUAAGGAUUUGCAAUAUUGUUUCCAAAUUUAUUCAGACAUGAAGUUCUUUCUUGGUUAUUGUUUUCAUGGUGCGUAAACGUUAAUUGUUUUUAAAUGACUGUAAAUUGUUUUUUAAUUUUCAAUUUCAUAAAUUUAUUUAUUUAUAAAAAGAAUUCCUAAAUAUUAUGAAUCACAAUUGGUAGGAAGAAUAGAACGACUAGGAAAUUUCACAUAAUUUCUGAACUUCUACUUUCAAUUUUUCUUUUAUCAAGUUUUCUUUUAUCAAGAGGAAUAAAAGAUAUCCAGAAUUUGCGCUGAAUGAAUAUUACAAUUCGAAUUGUCUGGCCAUCUUUUAUCAAGAGGAAUAAAAGAUAUCCAGAUAUCCAGAAUUUGCGCUGAAUGAAUAUUACAAUUCGAAUUGUCUGGCCAUCUUUUAUCAAGAGGAAUAAAAGAUAUCCAGAUAUCCAGAAUUUGCGCUGAAUGAAUAUUACAAUUCGAAUUGUCUGGCCAUCUUUUAUCAAGAGGAAUAAAAGAUAUCCAGAUAUCCAGAAUUUGCGCUGAAUGAAUAUUACAAUUCGAAUUGUCUGGCCAUCUUUUAUCAAGAGGAAUAAAAGAUAUCCAGAUAUCCAGAAUUUGCGCUGAAUGAAUAUUACAAUUCGAAUUGUCUGGCCAUCUUUUAUCAAGAGGAAUAAAAGAUAUCCAGAUAUCCAGAAUUUGCGCUGAAUGAAUAUUACAAUUCGAAUUGUCUGGCCAUCUUUUAUCAAGAGGAAUAAAAGAUAUCCAGAUAUCCAGAAUUUGCGCUGAAUGAAUAUUACAAUUCGAAUUGUCUGGCCAUCUUUUAUCAAGAGGAAUAAAAGAUAUCCAGAAUUUGCGGUGAAUGAAUAUUACAAUUCGAAUUGUUGGGCCAGAGCUAAGCUCGGGCAAGGCUCAACUAGUUUACUUAGAUAUAGAAGAUUUGAAAUACAAAAUCUAAAAAACUAAAUCAAAAUCUAAAACUCAAAUCUUUCUAUUGUUGGUUUGGAUCUGUAAUUAAUCCUAAGGAUCCUUAGGAGUGAUAUAUUCUUUUAUGUCCCGUAGUUUGUAAUUUUCCUGAAUCAAGCUAAAUAUCACAACUCGUUCUACCCAUCCUUUAUAUUGUCCUCUUUGUUUCAUGUUGAAAUAGAUCCUUAAUAGUUACUUUCUCUAUCCUAAUUUAUGUAUAAUACUUUCCUUUUAGUCUAUUUCAAAAAGUGUGUCAUACUUCUUUAUUUAGAAAUAAUUUAACUUUAAAUUUCCUGCUUUAUCCUAAAUGAGAUAAUUUAUAGUCACACAAAUAUUUUCUUUCUUUAUUUAUUUUACAACAUGCGUGCAGUGUCUUACUUACAGUAAUAAGCAAACCAAGAAUUUUGUUCAAGCGGGAUCAAUUAGGCAAUGCAACAUUAAUACGAUGAUAUCUACGAUAGGAGUUACCAUGUAUGACAAAGUCAGUUUUGUAUGUUAUUUCUUUUUUUUUUUCAAUAAUGCCCCUGAAGAGUGAAGAAUGUCAUUUUGAGGUGGUAUUAAAUAUGUAAAAUAAAAUAAACGAUGAA
Non-coding RNA from Nicotiana tabacum (common tobacco), 3179 nucleotides. The record is from RefSeq and is a predicted model, not a curated record. Lineage: Eukaryota; Viridiplantae; Streptophyta; Magnoliopsida; Solanales; Solanaceae.